UUUGCAGGAAGUUUCCAUACUUCUUCAGUUCAGUCGGUAGAGGGGGGGGGUUGGAGGGAAGCGGGGCUGAAUCAUCCGAAAGGGUUUUUUCUUUUUCUUUUUUAACCCAGUUCGAGAAUUUCCAACCGCAUCUUCACCCAAGUGUUUGGAGAGGAGUCCCCGAGCGAUGCGUCCAUCCGUCUGAAGAAACGCCCACCGAUGACCCCUAGAGCCUCCGGAGGGGGUUGCUGGGGAUGUGUAGCUUGGGGAGUCUCACUGGGUUUGUGGCCACAAGGGAGAAUCCCAGCAGUCAUAGGCUCAAUCCUGAGCUCUCAACAGCUUGAGAACCUACACUGUGAGCCACUGCAACUUCGGCAGUUCAUCAGCAUGGGGAGAGGGGACAAGGAAGAACGGGACAUCCCUAGCUCAUAAGAAUAAAAAGUGCAUUACAGAGCGCAGGAUCUACCACCAAAUGGAUACUCUAGUGUCCUUGGACUCCUGGAAGGAGAACUUUCUUCUUGGCUGGAUCCUGGUACAUAUAACUGAUUUGGGUAACAAUUUGAGAAUUCUGUGAUUUUACUUUCCAAUCUCUGCAGCUGUUAAACCUCCUGGAAAAACUGGAAACGUGCCUUACAUGAAAACGUGUGAAUCAGGUGGUUUCAUCUAUUUCAUUUGUUUUCUUCAUAUAGAUAUCAAUUAUUGUCAUUCAAUUGCUCUUGACAUUAUUUUUGGUUACUAUGGGCCAUAUACUGGCACUUUGUCUCUCACCAAGUAGCACCACACCCCGCAAGUUGUACCCUUUGGUUCAAUGGCAUAAAUCACAGAACAAGACAUUACUCAACAGGAGUAAAGAUCUCAUGGCUCUGAUGGACAAGCCUCUAAGUAAGAGGAAUGAAUUUUGCUAAUGAACAACGUGCAGAGGUUUGGACUGGGAGUCAGGGAAAGGAAAGAGAGGGUGGUGGUGAGGUGCUUAAACCAACAUUUUCCAAACCUUAAAACAGGUGCAGGUUGUAGGGCCAAAUCCAAUGGGUAUAAACCAGUGUAAUUCCAAAGAAGUCAAUAGCUCUACGCUGAUUCACAUCAUCUAAAGAUCCGUCCCAGUUUUUAACUGUAUCCUUCCUUCCUUCCUUCCUUCCGUUUUAUCCUUACUCCUUAUUAUGGACUAAGUUAAAUGGAAGCUGAAAAAGAAAAAAAUAGGUUUGGUUUCUGCCCUUUUCUCUUCUCCCCUCCCU
This 1211-nucleotide long non-coding RNA is filed under the name Chrysemys picta bellii (western painted turtle). Its description in RNAcentral is "lncRNA (ENSCPBG00000024783.1)". The record is from RNAcentral. Lineage: Eukaryota; Metazoa; Chordata; Testudines; Emydidae.